GCGGCCCAGGCCCCUCCACCACUUGGGCGCCGCGUUUUGUUUUCGCUUCGGACGGGGAGGAGGCCUCGCGGGGCGUCAGGGAAGGUUGGCGCCUCCAAACGGGCGCUAUCGCUCUUCCCUGGCGGGGAAAGGAAGCCAGGCACAAUGCAGACCAUGGCGGCGUCCGACGAAGGCCCUACAGACAUGGGCAAAUAGGGAGUUCGGAAUCGUGGGAGUUGAAGUCCAAAACAGCCGGAUGGCCGAAUUUUGCCCAGCUCCUCUGACAAAAAUAUAUAAAAACAACAUAGGCAGCAUGUAUACGGCCCUAUAUUUCAGGAUUUGAUACCAGAUUAUCUUUUUAUUUAUUUACUAUUAGCUUGGGUACCCGCCAUUGCCCGGGUUAUUUCAAAAAAGCCAAUUUUUAAUUGUCCAAAAUUAAGUUUGUGGGCAAACUACAACUCACAUUAUGCCGGAUGAACCCCCUGAAACCCCAUCUUUGGUUAAAGUUUGUUAUGUUGGGCAGGUUUGCUCUCUAGAUGCAUCAUUGAUGGGGUUCAGUGAGCUCUUAGGCUGCAGGGUAAACUAUAGCUCUCACCAUGGUGGGUCAGGACCCUUCCACAUAGUCCUAUAUCCCAGAAUAUCAAGGCAGAAAAUCCCACAUUAUCUCAGUGUGGACUCAGGGCCCUUUCACAUAGCCCUAUAUCUCAGAACAUCAAGGGAGAAAAUCCCACAAUAUCUGCUUUGAACUGGAUAUCUGAGUCCACACUCAGAUAGUGUGGGAUUUUCUGCCUUAAUAUUCUGGGAUAUAGGGCUGUGUGGAAGGAUCCUCAGAUAACCCAGUUCAAAUCAGAUAUUGUGGGAUUUUCUGCCUUGAUGUUCUGGGGAAUCGGGCAGUGUGAAAUGGCCCUCAAUUCCCUCCAGUGGGUUCAGUUGAUCAUGGGGGUCGCGGUAUCUCCUGAGAGUCACGGAGAGUAAUGCAAUAGGUUAAACCCUUGUGCCGGCUGAACUGCUGACCUGAAGAUCAGUGGUUCGAAUCUGCAAGACAGGGUGAGCUCCCGUCUGUCAGCUCCAGCCUUUCAUGAGGGGACAUGAGAGAAGCCUCCCACAGGAUGGUAAAACAUCAAACAUCUGGGCAUCCCCCUGGGCAACAUCUUUAUAGAUGGGUGAUUCUCUCACACCAGAAGCGACUUGCAGUAUAUUCUCAAUUUGCUUUUGACACAAUUUUUUAAAAAAGAUUAUCCAGAUGUAGGUGAACUUCAACUCUCAGAAUUGAAGGUCAGUUCCCCUCAAACCCCUCCAGUAUGUUCAGUUGAUCAUGGGGGUUCUGUGUGCCAAGUUAGGUCCAGGUCCAUUGUUGGUGGGGAUUGGGUCAGUCCCCUAAACCCGUCCAGUAUGUUUAGUUGUUCAGUUGCUGAUCAAAUAAUGCUCUGUUUGCUGGGUGCUAUAGGAAAGGGUAGGAAACGGUUAAGGGAGAGGCCUUGUGUGGGGUCAUGCAAAUUCCACAGCAAUAGAGAGAGAAAGGGACACCAGUGUCUUUGAUAGAAGAAAAACAGGAAAUCUAGUAUGAAAUUGUCCCCAUAUAAAAGCCUUCACUUGGGUGGUGUGCAGGAUGGUGUUUGUGGAGGUCAUUGGCAGGGCUCUUGGACAUAAUAAUAAUAAUAAUAAUAAUAAUAAUAAUAAUAAUAAUAAUAAUAUAAAACUUUAUAUUCAUGGCGCCCGCGAUAACCUAAAAUGUUCCUUGGAGGGAGGGCCAAUGGUGGCUCCACAGCACUGGGAGUUAUUGCUGUUUGCGGAGGUGGGAUCUGUCGAAAGGUUGACAGUUUGAAGCUCCUGUCAGGAUGAGCCCCUCACCUUUAGCCCAGCUUCCACCUACCUAGUGGCUAAAAAGCAAAAUGCAAAUAGAUAAAUAGGUAUUGCUUAAAAGCGGGGAGAUAUUUUAAGGCAUCCAUAAGGAAAUGCCAGAAAAAUGCCGAUGAUAUGAUAAAAGGAGGAAGUUUAUGAACAAAGCUUUUCGGCAGUGAGAUGGAGCAACAGCACCCCCCCCCCCCUUGCCAAAACCGAGCACAAGCCUCCAAGAAGCCGAAGAUGGGAAAAGCCUAUAUAUACCUCUUUCUAUGUACAAUUGUCAGUGUAUAAAAAAUGCCAUUGAAUGUUUGCCACAUACGUAUGUUCUGUGAUCCGCCCUAGGUCCCCUUCGGGGUGAGAAGGGCAAAAUAUAAAUACUGUAAAUAAAUAAUAAAUAAAAUCUGUUUUAAAGCAGAUAGCCAGAGAUCAGAUCUUGGGAUAUAGGGCAGUGUAGAUCCAGCCAUAGUCUGUGUGUGGGUUUAGAAUCUGAAAUGACUCUUUACAACUGGUGAACUGGGGUCCCCUAUUCCAGCAAAUGUUGAGGACUGCUUGUAGUAUUUCUGCAGGAUGGAUGGUAGGAAUUGCCCUGCUUGCCAUAUCAUCUCUUCUGUGUACUUUUUUUCAUUGUCAUUAAUGUAUAUAUUCCAAAUAUGUAACUGUCAUAAGAGCUAGAGGUUGCUAACAAAUAAGAUGAUUUUAAAUAUUUUGGAAUUAAAAUGACAGCAGUGUAAAGUAAUUUUAACAUUCUAAAGGCAUGUUAAAUAACUGAACAAUUAAAAAGGUUAAAGUGCAGGAAGCAUAAUAUGUACUUUUAGUGGAUCUGGUUGAAGUGCAUUGUAGUGUGUGACAGAAAACUAAACACCACAGGAGAUUAGGACUAGUGUGAUGUCAUGGUUAGAAUGCUGGACUGGGACUUGAGAGAUCCUUCACACAAGAUCAUUAGGUGAACUUGGAAAAGUCACUCUCUUUCAGUAUGACUGACCUCACAUGGUUGUUGUAAGGAUAAAAGUGGGGAUAUGAAGAACCAUAUAUGUCAUCUUGAGCUCAUGGAAGGAAAGGCAGGAUAUAAAUAUAAAGUGAUUUUCUUAUAUGUGAGGGAUGUGUUCCAGGAUCCCACUGCGGAUACCUGAAACCAUGGAUAACAGAGAAUCCUAUAUUUUUACUAUUCUUGGGCCAGAGGCCUGCCAUAUAAUCACACUGAAGUACCUAGAACAGUCCACAUACACUUGGGGUUAUGGGUGGGGUGGAUAUUUGGGGUAAGUGGUAUCAAAUUUGUGGAUAAGCAGGUCAUACUGUGCGAAGAUGAGGUAGAAAAUACAACAGAAUGCAGCAUAUCACAAAUUUUAAAAGGGAGUUCUCCCCAAAGCAAAUUCAGGCAAUGCAGUAGUAGCCAAUCAUUUUUAAACAGAAAGCAACUUAAAAAGUAAUGUUAAAACUUACCUAUUACAAACGAUCAAAAAGGUUACAAUUUCCAUAUUACUUUAUUGUUUUGGUUAUUUUUCAGGCAAAGUUAACAUCAAUAUAAUUUAGUUUUUUUUUAUUUGGCCUCUUUCUUUAAAUUUCUCAUGGAAUGAUUGCCCGGAAGUCAGCAAACUAAUUGUGCUGAUUAUAUACUUGAAAGCACCCCCCCCC
Long non-coding RNA from Anolis carolinensis (green anole), 3456 nucleotides. RefSeq lists it as uncharacterized. The record is from RefSeq and is a predicted model, not a curated record. The transcript has 2 exons. Lineage: Eukaryota; Metazoa; Chordata; Lepidosauria; Squamata; Anolidae.